RNAcentral lists this ribosomal RNA (253 nucleotides) under uncultured bacterium. RNAcentral's name for it is "partial 16S ribosomal RNA". It matches the Rfam family "Bacterial small subunit ribosomal RNA", at positions 524 to 776 of the family's 1533-position model. The record is from RNAcentral.
UACGUAGGGUGCAAGCGUUAAUCGGAAUUACUGGGCGUAAAGCGUGCGCAGGCGGUUAUGUAAGACAGUUGUGAAAUCCCCGGGCUCAACCUGGGAACUGCAUCUGUGACUGCAUUGCUGGAGUGCGGCAGAGGGGGAUGGAAUUCCGCGUGUAGCAGUGAAAUGCGUAGAUAUGCGGAGGAACACCGAUGGCGAAGGCAAUCCCCUGGGCCUGCACUGACGCUCAUGCACGAAAGCGUGGGGAGCAAACAGG